This is a microRNA precursor of Cercocebus atys (sooty mangabey), 64 nucleotides long. The record is from Ensembl. NCBI's taxonomy places the organism in Eukaryota, Metazoa, Chordata, Mammalia, Primates, Cercopithecidae.
UGAGGAUGGGGUGAGAUGGGGAGGAGCAGCCAGUCCUGUCUCACCGCUCUUCCCCUGACCCCAG